Non-coding RNA from Phalacrocorax carbo (great cormorant), 11374 nucleotides. The record is from RefSeq and is a predicted model, not a curated record. Lineage: Eukaryota; Metazoa; Chordata; Aves; Suliformes; Phalacrocoracidae.
GCCCCGGAGUCCCGCCGCCGCGGCCGGGCAGCCCCCGCGCCGGGCGGGGGUCGCCGCCGGCCCCCGCAGUCGUCCCCGUCCCCGCCUUCCCCCGCCCGGCGCUCUGCGGGAGCUGGGUGCUGCCUGCUGCUGCCGCUGCCGGCGGCGGUGGGAGGAAGAAGCUCCGAGCUCACUGAGCCUCGGGUAGGCGUAAACAGCGUGAAUGCACCGGGUCGCUUGCGUCUGUCCUGUGUUUUCUUCCCUUGUUCCCCCUUUCAUUGCGCACUGAGGUCGGUCCCCCCUUUCCUCCCCAUAUUUCCGGGCGGUUUUCCCCGUGGUGAGGGGUACCUACAGCUGUUAGGUCUGUGGGGAGAAUGUUUUCUCCAUAACCGAAAGAAGAAUCUGUUACAGACGCAGCACUUUUCCCCUUCUGGUCCCUAUCGCCUUCAGCAGAGAAUUCGGGGUCUGCGAGAGUUAUUAGUCAGGGAACAGGAAUGCAAAUGUUUGGAAGAGAUGCUAAAAAAAAAAAAAAAAAAACAAAAAGGAGGAUGCGCUCGCUUUUCGUAGCGACAAGAUGUUUCUCCCACCCAGCUGAAAAUGCAUGCCUCUCCUUCCUGCGCACGCAGCGCCGAACCAAACCGCCUUCUGGCGUGAUGCUGAAGGGCUGCACAGAUGCAGCCGAGGCUCCUUCUUGAGGAGCCUUUUCAGCCGUGCUCAGUUGCCCUGCGUGGCAGGGCUGAUCAAGGCUUCAAAAAUUUUGAAGCUAUACAUGCCAGGCUUUUUCUCUUGGACUAGCCAGUACGUUAUUGGAGAUGAAUUACAGUGAAAGCGUAUUUACAUUGUAGGCUGUCUUUCUUAGAAGGUAUGCUUUAGCUGAACCUGGAAUUAAUUUGAUGUAUUUUUUAGAUCACGAUUAAACUGUCGUGACUAAACUAAAAGUCAGAUCAAACUACUGCAAUGCCAUUUGCUUGCAGUCUGAAAAUUGCUUCUUGGUAUUUGUCUGUGCUCUAAGAAGUCAAUGUUCUAGUAGGUUUUUCUGCUGGGUUUAGGGAAAUAAAGGAACAUGUGGGCCAGAUACUAAUGAAGUGGGGAAUAUUUUGUUUCCAGAACUUCUUUUGUCCCACCUCUCACUCCUUGUAGGUGGAGUUCUGUGAGAAAAAUGUACAUUCUUUCGAGGCUGGCCUGUUUCACACCAUUAUUGGGCACCUCAGUACGUCUGCACUGGUCUGUGGGGUUUUUUUGGGGGUGUGGUGAUUCUUCAAGUGCGUUUUUUCAAAGUGACUCUUCAUCUGUUCUGAUCAAAGUAAGCGUUUGAGGUGCUAUAGAGAUACUUCCUUGCAACAUCUAAGAUUAGAUAACAAAAUAAUUACUAACUGUAACAGCAAAUUACUCUUGCCUUUCAGGUCCCCUCCUGAUGGAGUUAAAUGCUGUUCUGUAGUCUGAUUCUAAGUUAGUAUGGAAUGGAAGUUGUCAAUUUUGUUUACAUCUUGUGCAUGGAGUUACAUAUGCUAUAAACAAACCAUGUAAUAUAUGUGAAAACACCCUGAUUUCCUCAUAUUCCCUCCUCCCCCUUUUUUAAUCCUCGUUCAUGAUGGGAUGACCAGUUUGUCAGAUACUGUAAGCAGAACAUUACUUGGAUUUCUAAGCUUGGCAGAUAGGGGUUUUUUUGGUGGUUUUAUUGCAGCAGCAGUCAAAAAAGCUCUUUAUGACACCAUUAAGAAAUUUCAAUGUGGAAUCUAACUUGCUCUGGAACUAUAGUUUCUAAAAGUGUUAUUUCUUCAUUUUCUUCACAAAGUGUGGCAAGAAAUUUUCUUGGUAGGUUAUGGCAUAGAGGAGUUGUAGAUGACCUAAUUACAGAGUCGUUAUCAGAAUUGUUUCAUUGUGAGUGUUAACUAACUCAAAUUAUUAAUUUCUCAAAUGUAGUGAAUUUGUUCUGCAGUGUGGAUAGGUGUCUACAUGAAGAUUUUUUUUUAAAGCAAUGUCCUGUCUGCUGUCGUUCCCCGUCCUUCCCCCCCACCAAAAAAAAAGAGUGAAGCAGCAAUAUUCAAUUUCAGUUACAUUUGAUAUUAAUUAUUAAUUUUAAAAACUGUCAUGGUAUAAACUUAAGAAGUUAAGUUGAAGUUCUGUGUAGUAACUUGGGUGUUCUAUCACAGGAUGUUUUGAUUUCCAAAGAAAUUAAUAUGUUAACACAUAUUUAGGCUUAUGUGAAGAAGGGAAGCAAUUAUUUUUUCGUUUCAGAAAUAGCAAAAUAGUUUGCAAGAUGAAGAUGGGAACACAAAAGCUUUUAAUUACGGCAUGCCAUGCAUACUAAUAGCAAUGGAUACCUAACAUUUUCCCCAAUCUCUAGAGUAUAAAAUAUACUACAUCUGUAAUUACUUACUUGAUUUCUGGCCACAGAGUGCUGAUAACUUUUAAAUUGUGAUGUUGCCAUACUUCUAUAUGAAAGAUGUUCACAAAGCUAUUGUGCUUUUUUUUCACAGUGUUUCAGGGGGCACAUUGUCUCCGUUCCCAAAGUGACUUUAGUUCCCACUGACUAACAGUAAUGAUCUCUAGUGUUGAAUAAUACUAUGCGUUAAAGAAGAUAUUUCUUCACUGACUUUUAGGAACUUGAAAAAAUAAGCUUGCUCUUUAGCCAUGUUUUUUGUACUAACUUGUACAGUAUAUAUGUCAAAGACCUAGUAGGGCAGCUGGUAUAAACAUCCUAGUACCAUUACAUAAAAUUUGCACUACGUAAAGACCUAUUGUUGUGCCUCUGUUUCUUGACCCAUUGCGUCAAGGUUGGCCAUUAUUUUCUGUUAAGACUGAUCCAAAAAUGUGUUCACCAGCAGUGUGAUUCACUGCUUUGAAUGCUGCAAUUUUGUCUUGUAGUUAAAGUUUGUGCUAUUCUUUUUUCCUUUCAAAAGGUAAAUAAAUGUUGUGAGGCAGCGUUACAGCAGUGUUGGUGCUAGUGCCAAUUAUAGAAUAGAUUUUUUUUUCUCUCCUUAGUUUUGUUUACAAGCUUCCUAUGUCUCACUCUUCUACUGAUUCUGUUCUCCCAGAAAAGCGCUGUUUGAGGAAGAUGCACACACAUGUACAGAAGGGGUACUUUUUGACAAGGGUUUGUCUUGCUGUCCUGGUAUGACAGGUGUCUAACCACCUCAGGUUUCGUGUGGUCACUCCAGCAGUGGCUUUCCUAGUAGAAAAGAAAGGUAUUGUUCUUGAAACUGUUGUGGAAGUACAGCUGGGUGAUGCUGCAGUACUCUUGAAGUGGGUGACUAGCAUACUGCUGAUCUUGGUCUAUCAUGUUAAGUUUCAAGUGAGGGGUCUUGUCUUCAUAUAAGGUUAGCUGCAGAUAGUCAAGGUGAUCAAUCUGUAGGCUACCCAGUUAGCGUGCAUUAAUCUUAUUCUGCUUAUACAGAGGUGAUAUAGGGAAUUUGGUGAUGCUGUUACAGUUGUGGAUCUCAUAGAUAAGGUGAUGUUUUGCAGGAGCACUAGUCUCGAGAUGAAAAGGUGAGAGGAUGGUUAUUAACAAAGUGGGAGGGAAAUAGCAUACCAUGCUGGGUACGUUUUUGUUGCAGUGGUGAUCUGCAACCACAGAAGAUUCCCCUUUUGAGGGGAUCUGCCUUCAGACAGUAGGAAGAUUAAAAGUGCCCUACCGUCUCUUAAUUGUUUUUUUUUCCUGUCUUAAGCUUUUGGAAUACCUGUUUUGCCUAGGUCAGCUACACGUGUAAGUAAAGCUAUAGCCUGUAGGAGAUAUUCCAUCUGCCUUUGUAUUCCUCAGUGUAAAAAUUACUAUGCCGUAAUGUCAUAGACCUGAUGGUUCCGGAAGGUGAAGGCUUCUAAAGUAUUCAGAAUUGGACUGUGUCUUAGUAAUCCACUACUAUGCAAUAAUUCAUAAUUUUUUUGUAUAGCAUUGCUGUAAUUGGGGACCUAGGUUUUUUUUUGAAGAAUAAACUUUACAGUACCUAAGUGACUGUGAUUUGAUCUGUCUUUUGUGCAGUCAUUUACAGUUGUUGUAAGUAGGUAUUAUGAGAACCAAGCCCUCUACUGGUGGCUUUGUUCUAUUUCUUGUUCAGUACUCACUGAGGGUACCAGUUGGUUCCCUUGACAGGCUAGAAGGUAGUAAUGUCAGAGGAAGACCUUUACACCACCGCCACCACCCCCAGCCAAAAUUAAAAAAACAAAGAAACAAAAACCCCAAACAAACAAAAAAAACCAAACAAAAAACCCAAAGGCAUUUAAAAAUGGAAGCAUGCUGUGCUUCGUCCCACACAGAAAACCAUGCACCUGUCCUCUGAAUUUGGAGGCAUAAAUAAGGAAGAAGAUACUACUGAUAGUCUUGAUGCAGAAUUGAGUGUUUUUGUUUGUUUUAACUUAGUUUGGAUGACUUUUUUUUCUUAAACUAUCUUUCUAGCUUUGAUUUGUCUUUUGAACAUUGCAGUUUUCUCUUAUGUGAUAAAUUGUUUAACUUAAGCACAGUAAAAAGGCUGUGUAUGGCACUGCUUUUUAACAAAGAAUGUAUUAUAUCUUGAAAAUGUUAAACGACUGCUGCACCUCCAGCACUUGUUUAUAUAUUUUUUUCAGUUCUUGGUUUGUGUCUGCCUAGCCUCUUAAGCAUCUUUAGCUGAGCUCUGUUUUCUUAAGAGGCUAAAAGAUGAUUCUAGAUGAUUGUAGGCUAUCAAGUUAGCUGACCAUGUUAUGUAAGGUCUAUCUUUUAAAAACUGCAUCCUUCCCUAUCCCUCUGCCAGAAGGCUGAGACCCUCUUGCAGAAAUUCUUUAUUGUACUACCUUGCUGAAUCUUGCUUUCAAUCAGUAGGUCUCUUAGGCCUUGAGACACUGCCAUUUAAUUCAGAUAGCUUGUUUUCCUUCUUGCUCUGUUUUAUAUCUGUAAGCAGAACUUGAAUUUUCUUACUGAACAUCAUUGUACUAAAAUAAAACCAGAGAGAAGUGCUUUUAACCUUUGUCUCUGUGCUCUUGGACAUCCCAGAAGCCUCUAAUCUGUAACUGUUCAUGUUCAUUGCUUUUGAAAAACAGUGAGCUCAAUGCACCUGUCCUCAGAUGAGGCUUUACUAGUGUCAUGCUAAGUGGUGGUUUUAUGCUUUUUUUAAAUCUGUGUGGAGAAUCCUCACUUCGCUUAUCCUGAUACCCCACUUAAUUACCACUGUCUUCAUCAAGGGAAAAAAAAAUUAUGUACUGCUCUUUUUGCAGCAGUAAAUCGUAUUAGUCCUCCAGGGUUUGUAUUUUAUCCAGAACCAUGUGUGUUUUGUAAUUUUACAUUGCUUGAUGCUUGAAUCUCUUUCAUCUAAUCUUUGUGGUAAGUCCAAAAUACCUAUAGAAUACUGAAGCCCUUGAACUCUCCUCAGCGUCUGCUAAUAAUGUUCUUGCUACUCUGUUUUUGUUCUGUUCCAGAGAAGCUGGAAAUAACUGAGCACUGUUAACAGGUUAUAGUUCAGCUGCUGCUGAACCGGGUAAACUUUUGUGCUCUCUUUUGUGAUGAUGUUUGUAUUUUUGAGUUGGAUCUGAGAACUGAUCUGGCUUCCAGAAAGCAAACACCCCCUGCAACUGCAAAAUCUUGCACUGUAUGUUGUGAGUCAGUUCCCUGAUCCAGUACACCAGUGGUCUCUGCAGUCUUUUGACUGUACGCUUGUACCAGUUUUGAGCAUGCACCCCUAAUAUGUGUAUAUUUACUUAUAAACAUGUACUACUGUACGAGAAAUAACCACUUCCAGAACUCUUGUUGUACUUCAUUAACAUUACCAAAAAAAUACUUUCUCGCCACGCUUCUAAUGGACUGUCUUGUCUGCCUGUUGGAGACCGCUGCAAUGCACCAUGAACUGCUUGAGUGCUCAUAUCAGAAGAAAAGGUAUUGUAAUUUGCUAGAAGACUACAACUAGGGAAGGAAGGAGUGCCUGUUUGGAGGAGCUUGGUUUUUUUAAUAAACUAAUCUCAGCUGAUGUAUUAUCGGUAUCAAUGACUAGUUCAAGACCAGAACCUGAAAGAAUAGCAGUAACUUCUCUCUAGCUGGGCAGCUUUUCUUUCAGCAUAAGCUAUUUCAGAACUGGUUAAAGAGGAAGGUACUGUGGAAUUAAUCCUGAUCUUCAGAUGAACUUUCGCCCUUUUGUUACUGUAUUUGAUUAGACCUUAGGUGAUUUUCAGUCUUGAAGAACAUUCUUGCAGAGGAGGAGGUUGGUAAGAUCAAUUAUCUUGGAGCAAUUCAAAUCAGCGUACUACAACAUCUUCUGUUGCAUCCUUCAGAUUUUUUCCUAAAGCCCAAUAUAAUAUUCAUACAUAAGCAACCACAAACCCAUUUUCCCCCCAACCCCCAGCUUCUGGGUAUACCUAACAAUCACAAUAUGGUCAUUUGUUCACUACUAAGAAUUUUUUAAAUAGUUGAUUUGCCUACUAAAGUACUGAAAGGCAAACAGUUCUUGCAGCUUGAGCACAUGGAACAUCUUUGAUUUAUUCCUACGCUUAAGCAUGCUGAUUAGGCCUGAUAAACUUACUGAAAUUUCUUUUUAUGUAUAAAAACUAGGAUACAUUAUCUGUGUCUGAUAAACUUAACUGACCUAAUGAUGAGGUGAUUAAAAAAAAGUAAAACAUUCCUAAAAUUAUUUUUAAUAAGGAAGCUUAUCUCUUGCAUCUUCAUCUUCAUUUUGCUAUGUAGCUUCCCUUCUUCAAAUGAACUGCUAUUUCAGAUUUUUUUUUUAAUUCAAAGAAAAUAGCAACACCUGUUUCACCUGUAAAGAAACUGAUGCUAGGUUAAAGUUUCAACUUACUCUGAUGGUUUACAUGGUAGAGAGACUGCUAAGACUAAUCCGAGUCAUGCUGCUCUUGAACUGUAAGCAGUUUGGCUUGAAUGUAGUGCUGUCCCAGUGCAUGUAAGUGCUAUGCUGCAUGAAUGUACCAGCACUGCUCAGUGCUGGCUCAGGGGCUGUGCCUGCAGUUGUGUCCACCACUUCAUAAGCACAACAUUAAAAAUUCAGGCAGUACUUAAUUGAUUUUUAAGAUUUUUGCAGUGGGCUGUUCGGCCUAUUUUAAGACAAUAGGUUAAAUGUAAUUUUUCAUGAACUUGUUAUACUUAGAACUAGACUUGUAAUUAAAGUAGGAAGUUUUAUUAAGGUCACUGCUGAAUAGUGUGGUACACUUGCUCCCCAUUCCUCACCUCUUGAAUGGAAAGGGCAUCAUUCUGUUUUGCAGGAGCAAAUGAAAACUGAAAGGUGUUAAGAGCAAGAAUGCUUCAAAUAAUCCUUUUUUGGGGGGUAGAGUAUAGAAGACAACUUGGGAAUUUGCUCUGUUGAAAACAAGUUCUUGAGCAAGACUGAAAUGGAUUUUCUUUUGUACUUGUAUAUAGAAUGUAUUUCUUGGGCUAUAAUUGAAUAUGCAGAACUGCUAUGGAAGAAGCUUGCUAGUAGGAUUUAAUUAAGCUCUUAAGCAAUCAAAUACUGCAUCUGCUUCAUUCUGGAGAACAAAGAAAUUCUAUGAAAGACUUAAAAGGUUUCUAAUCAUUAAAUACAUAUCAGGAUUAUGUUUUUCAGAUAAUCAAGUGAAAGCUACCUGUGUUCAGAGCCUGGAUCUGUUUUCCUGAGAAGUGUGAUUUCUCUUUUCAUUCCGAUGGAUAUCAAGAGGAAUAUGAUGGUCAAUGCACGUUAAUGAAUAAUUACUUUGACAACCAUUCACAGUAUGAGGAUUCUUCUGGAAAGGAUCAAAUACAUUGGUGCAGUAGGGAAACUAGUAGUUUGGUUCUAGAGAGGGUGGGAAAGGAGUGAUCCAUCAAAGCCAGAACUGAGGUGUACUCUUGAGGUGUGAAGAGUAUUUCUUCCUCUUAAGCUGGAUGGAUUGGUUGUCCCUACAUUUGUGCAGGAAUUCAUGCCCCCUUUUUUGUGAAUAGAUGUUAAUGGUGCAAUUUCAUGUUAAACAGCAGAAGUGGAGAGACUGGCAAAGGAAUUUUGGUUUUUGUUUUUGUGGUUUUUCUUUUUGUUUUUAUGGUGGCAGACCAUGUUGAGUAUUCCUCAACAGGUUUGACAGGAAGGCCUGACUUUGCCUGAAAUGUUUCUGGGAGCGCAGAACAUAAUCAUCGUGGGUCUACCAUGGGGUAGCCGCACUGCGUAGCUGCUGAGCAGAGGUCGUUUCUUGUUUGUCUCUGAUUCUCAUGAUCAACUUGCCAAGAGUAUACAUAUCAUCCUGUGCUUAUGGAGGGAAUCAAGAUGUGAAGAUAUAGAGACUUUUCUUUAUCUUGAUGCUUUUGCAAAAUGCUGUUGUUCCUUAAGUAAAGUUUUUGUAUGGAGGAAAAAAUACUCUUCAUAUUCCAGAUACGAUACUGCUCUUGCACACCUGCAGAUGUCAACAAGACUUUGCUGCCAUGUUACAUGCGAAAACUGCUGGAAAGGAUUCCAUCUUCUCAUACCAUACUAGCUUUAGGGUUUCAAAUCUUAGCCUUUGUGUGGCUAUGUAGACUUCAUGGCUUUCCUCUGGAACUUUUCUUCUAUAAAUAUGGCUAGUCCUUCUCUGUUACGUAUGCAGAGAUUUGAACCUGAACUUCAAUGCUCAUGUUACAACAACUAGGUCAAAUGGUGUUGACACUGUCACUGUUUACAGAGGCACUGAUUCAUAACCUACCUUGAGAGAGACAUUAUUUUGAUGUGACGCUUAGGAAAGCAUUGAAAUUUUUUUGCUUAUAAAGGGCUGAAAACUCAAAGUUUCUAGUGAUGCAGGAGAGAAAGCAGGCAGAGGAAGGGAUGAGAUCACCCUUGGAAUAUUACACAAUAUUCUAAUGUCAUGUCACUUAAGUAAUCCAGGCAAGUUAGUGGCUGUGGAAUGCUGCUAUGACAAUCAAGUUUAUCAAAAUCCGUCAAGGACCAGAUUCUGUCUAUUUUUACCAAUUAAAAUACUCUUUUAAGUUUGGGUAGUUUUGCUGUUGCUGCAUUUCUGAAUUGAUUCCAGACCUUUUCCUUGAAGCAAAAGUGUACUAGAUUGCAAUGUGUAUCCAUCCUGUAUUAGGAGGCAAGGAUCAUAAUCACUUCCUUAAAGAGAAAAGUAUAUAGCCUUUGUGUGUUUAGUAAGUUUAGAGAUUAGUAAAAAAAAAAAUUGUAUGCAUGUAGGUCCUUAAGUGGUGGCGAGCUUUAUAAACACAGCUCCUAUCUAUCCUUUGUAGGUAUACCACCUUGCAAGAACAAUGAUUUACUCCUAAGCUGAAAUCAAUUGCCUGAGUGUCUGUGGAAGCUACUCUUUGUGACUAGCAAUCUUUAAGUGAAAGGCAUUGAGUUCCAGUUGCGUUAAUUUCCAGUUCCUAGGUCUAAGAAGAUUCUUCUGCAUCAUUUGAUGGUCUAAAUAGCAAAUUACCACCUUAAGAAGUAGCUGUUUCAGUCAGGUUUGGAUAUUUAUAUUUACUGUAUACUUCUGGGAUUUUAAUGGGAGGGAGGCUUAACAUAGGAGACUUAGGUAAUUGUGGCAUAAAUAAAAGCAGUGAGGAUAUCUAACAAAGCUUUAAGGUUAGCACUUCUGAAACAGAUCAGUAUAAAGAAGACAAUAGCCGUUUGUCAACAAAAGUAUUGCUAGCAUUACUAGUUUACAAAGUAGACUGUCCAUGCCAGUACCGACUGUUGUUUGUGUUAUGUAGAGUAAGUAUUUUAAAAGUAAUUACCUACAUUACUUAUUCCCUUUUAGAGCGGUUUAUCUUCCUUACAAAAAACAUUUGAAAACUGUCAGACCUGGUAGAGGUGUUUUUCAAACUUAAGAUUGAAAACUCACUGUGAUUUGUUGUUAGUGUACAGAGCAAAGUUAACAACAGUAUCUCAGCCAUUUUGAACAGUGGUUGGUUGAAAAAAUGGUUACAGUGGUUACAAACAAUAGUCGGCAUCACCAAAUCAAGUCAAAGACUGGUGAGAACUUAUUUUUCUUCUCCAUAUUUACAUACUGAAAUACUUUGUAUUCUCAGUCAGACAAUCAAGUAUGAGACUUCCCUGUGUUUAACACCUUAUCAAGAACUGUCUUGCGUCCCUGGACAACAAUAUGCUUAAAACCAUUCCAUGGAGAUUUAGGCGUUUUGGAAAGGAAACUCAGUGCUCUUGGUUUCUUUCACCACUGGUCAGAUAAAAGCAUUAAAACAUAAAAACAGCUUAUAAAAGACCCUUAGGCACAAACUGGGAAUUUUAUGACUGUAAACAUUAGCAUGCUGCAAAAGCUUGUUUAAAGAACAGAUGUGUUUGAUGGAGUUCAGUGUCCUAUAGUCAAUAGCUGGCUUAUUCUUUAGUAGUGUAGUAUCACACUUGCAUAUAUUUGUACCAGUACAGACUCUGAAAAAGUUGUCAGCAUUGCAUCAGAGUUAAACACCUAUGGCUGCAGGAUUAUUCUAUGCAUACAAUAUAUCUAGCAGUUUUUAAACUUUUUAUUCAGGUCAUUAGAAAUGCACAGGUGAGGUGUGGGGAAGAAUCCAAAAGUUCAUUCCAGAAGGGAGAAUGCAAGGCUUGCUCAUCCAAGAACAGAUCUGUAGCCUUUAAAAAUCAUGGGAAGUGUUAGCAUCUUCUGGGGGAGAACAUUUAGUAAUUCUGCUGCUGUUUGAUAACUUUAUUUAAUCUGUCAUUUUUAUUUUAUCUACAGCCUGGCUAAAGUAUGUUUGAAUUAGAAAAGCAAAAACAGAUGUUCAUUAACUUUUCUUCCAUGCAUGUUUUGAGCUGUGCUAACUCUGAAUGUCUUCUGUACUGUCAGGUUUUGAACUUGAGUAGCCAUAAUUUAACUGUGUGCAGCUAAAGACUUGGGCUAUUCAGGAGGUAUAAUCUCUACAAGUAAUGAUUCCUCAACUCUUGAGACAGCUGGCAUGCCAGCUGGAUCAAUACAUUUUGCUGGUUGCUUCUUUCCUUAAAAAGGAAUUUUAUUAAAAAUGGCAAUGCCUAUAAAGUUAACCUUUGGGAGAUGGAAACAAGAAAUUUUCAGGUAAGGUGUAGUGAACAGCUGGGCAAUAAUGCCAGAAGAUGGGUGCAAGUCUCUUGCCCAUGUGAAGAACGGUUCCACUGUCUGUGUUGAGGAGGUGGCAGUCACCAACCUGCUCCUUCACCUGGAUGUUCACAAGUCCAUGGGGUCGGAUGGGAUCCACCUGAGGAUACUGAAGGAGCUGUCAGAGGAGCUUGCCAAGCCACUGUCCACCAUUUGUCAGCAGUCCUGGUCAACUGGGGAGGUCCUGGAUGACUGGAAACUAGCAAAUGUGACACCUCUCUACAAGAAGGGUCAGAAGGAGGAUCCGGGGAACUACAGGCCUGGCAGCCUAACCUCGGUGCUGGGAAAGGUCAUGGAGCAGAUCCUCUUGAAUGCCAUUAUGCGGCACAUGCGGGACAGCCAGGGGAUUGGGCUCAGCCAGCAUGGGUUUAUGAAAGGGAGGUCCUGCCUCACUAACCUGGUCUCCUUCUAUGAUAAGGCUACCUGC